AUUGAACGCUGGCGGCAGGCCUAACACAUGCAAGUCGAACGAGUGGCGGACGGGUGAGUAAUGUCUGGGUAACUGACCGAUGGAGGGGGAUAACUACUGGAAAAGAUAGCUAAUACCGCAUACCAUCGGAUGUGCCCAGAUGGGAUUAGCUAGUAGGUGGGGUAACGGCUCACCUAGGCGACGAUCCCUUGCUGGUCUGAGCGGAUGACACGCCACAUUGGAACUGUGACACGGACCAGACUCCUACGGGAGGCAGCAGUGGGGAAUAUUGCACAAUGGGGGCAAGCCUGAUGCAGCCAUGCCGCGUGUAUGAAGAAGGCCUUCGGGUUGUAAAGUACUUUCAGCGGGGAGGCGUUACUCGCAGAAGAAGCACCGGCUAACUCCGUGCCAGCAGCCGCGGUAAUUC
This 406-nucleotide ribosomal RNA is filed under the name uncultured bacterium. RNAcentral's name for it is "partial 16S ribosomal RNA". It matches the Rfam family "Bacterial small subunit ribosomal RNA", at positions 30 to 526 of the family's 1533-position model. The record is from RNAcentral.